UAGUUAUGGAGGUGUUGGAAGUAAGCUUAUCUUUGGAGCCGGAACAAAACUGAUGGUAGAAUUAACUAUUCCAGACAGAUCACCAUCACUCUACGUUCUUAGACCAAAGAAGGAGAACAGAAGCAAAGUUUCACCGGUGUGCCUCGUCACUGAUUUCUCACCAAGAGAAAUCCAUGUAUCAAUUAAUGAACACCAUUUAAAUGAAAGCGAUGCUUCAGUUCUUAUUCAGGAUAGGAGCUAUGGGGUUGUUGGAUACCUGAAUCAAAGAGAAAAGCAUUUUUCUUGCAAUGCAACCCAUAAAGGAAUAACAGUUUCUGUGGAGGAUGAAAAUUUGCCAGACUUACCUGAUUUGCCAGAUGAAGAAAAUACUUGUGUGAACCUGGACGUAUUUGAAACAGAUGAAAAGUUAAAUUUUCUGUCACUCUCUGUGUUGGGGCUGCGAAUAAUAUUCCUUAAGAGCAUAAUAUUCAAUGUACUUAUGACUGUCCAUGCUAUGUCAUCUUAAGACUAUAGGUUGACGCAGGUUACUGUUGUUCCAUGAUCUGAAAUGAACCAUGUGAAGAAGCUGGCCUUCAAAGAAAGAAUGCAACAUACAGCAAACAAGAAAAUCAAAUCUGACAUUAGAUUUUCUGGGAGUCUUUAUUGUUCCGUUUGCUGAAGCUUUAAUAUUACGAAUGAGUUUGUAUACUAUUCUUCAUAGCAAUACAAAUAUAUUGUAAUUUGUAAUAUGUGUUUAUACAAAUAUAAAUUGUAUUUAGUACUUUAGUAGUAUUUCAAGAUAUACUUAAUAGAAUGUUUUAUUCUCAUGCUGUUUGCACAUCAUAUUAAAUAUGUACAUAGAUGAUAUACAUU
This is a non-coding RNA of Protopterus annectens (West African lungfish), 852 nucleotides long. NCBI's taxonomy places the organism in Eukaryota, Metazoa, Chordata, Ceratodontiformes, Protopteridae. The record is from the annotation of a RefSeq genome assembly.